ACUUAAAUAGCUUAUAUAUUAGAGCAUAACACUGAAGAUGUUAAUGAGAUUAUUAAUCUUUAAGUA
This 66-nucleotide transfer RNA is filed under the name Cosmozosteria sp. B117. Its description in RNAcentral is "tRNA-Phe". It matches the Rfam family "tRNA". From Rfam's summary of the family: Transfer RNA (tRNA) molecules are approximately 80 nucleotides in length. Their secondary structure includes four short double-helical elements and three loops (D, anti-codon, and T loops). Lineage: Eukaryota; Metazoa; Arthropoda; Insecta; Blattodea; Blattidae. The record is from RNAcentral.